UGCUACCUGGUUGAUCCUGCCAGUAGUCAUAUGC
This 34-nucleotide ribosomal RNA is filed under the name Solanum etuberosum. RNAcentral describes it as "partial 18S ribosomal RNA". The record is from RNAcentral. Lineage: Eukaryota; Viridiplantae; Streptophyta; Magnoliopsida; Solanales; Solanaceae.